GGGGGGAGUGAAGAAAAAAAAAGCGGCAACGUGUUUGCCAAUGUUGAACAUGAGUUCGUGGUAAUAUGGUCGCAUAUACACAGAGUUUCCAAGUGGCUUCUGUACAGGAACCUUAAGUCCGAUGAAAGACCGUGUAAUGUUGACCAGUUAUCCAUAGUUAGAAAUCCACCUGACCAAGCCUAAGAUCCUGAGACUGAAAAAACAUAAGUUGCAAAAAUUUCUGAACACCGCAGUGCUAGGAAAAAUGAUGGAGUUUUGUUUUGUCAUCCAGGAAAUACUGAUAAUUCAUUACUCCUGAAAAGAAUUAACAGACCACUGGAAAGAAGAUGUUGAUUUUGUCCACCCUUGGAUAGGAGACAAAAGACUGAAUAGUAGACCAUGGAACACUGACUGGUUAUAUGUGGGUGGAAAUCUACUUGACCAUGGGAAAAGCUGACAAAUGUCCUGUGAAUGAGAAAAAACAAGCAAAGAUAUUUAGCAAAAGUGAUGUACUAAGGUAAAAUGUCAAUA
This 510-nucleotide long non-coding RNA is filed under the name Daphnia magna. RNAcentral's name for it is "uncharacterized LOC123470999, transcript variant X2". Lineage: Eukaryota; Metazoa; Arthropoda; Branchiopoda; Diplostraca; Daphniidae. The record is from RNAcentral.